This 1039-nucleotide long non-coding RNA is filed under the name Homo sapiens (human). RNAcentral describes it as "HSALNT0265708". Lineage: Eukaryota; Metazoa; Chordata; Mammalia; Primates; Hominidae. The record is from RNAcentral.
CAAGGCCUUACGUAGUGACGCCACCUCAACGAACUCACCACAGUCCUGAGGCUGGCUUUGUCCUGAUUUCUGAAAAUGGGUCCAUUGGCUAGGACCAGUCACAGGAGGAAGCUCACAAGGCUGCACUCCAGAGCAGGUGUUGGUUGGUUCAUCUACAGCCAGAACCAACUUCCCAGGGACUAAGCAGCAUGUGUUCAUGUGCUCUCUAUGUGAGCAGGUGCAGGUGGCUAUAAGAGCAUGGGUCAGAACAAGGAAACACAGUAGAUGGCAUGAUCCCAGUGGCCAAGGGCACAAGUUGACAGGGCCUGAAGGAUCUAUGUUCUCAGGAAGGAACAUGGUCACCAGGGAGACCAGAUACCCCACAGUGAGUCUGGUGACCACAUUCCCUUCUCACCAGCCCUGCCCACAUUUGCCCCUGUGAAUUACCCUACCCCUUUUUUUGGGCGUUUCCACAUUCUGGUGGUGGAUAUUUUAAUUUGUUCACCUCAUGGGCUGGGAAUCUCUUUUCUCUUAAAGGUGACAUUGCAUAGUUGAGCCUCCAUCAUCUCUCACCUGGACUGGUGCAGUCUUCUCCAAGACCCUAGGCUUCAGAAGCAGACGAGGGAACGAGCAGAAGAACAGAAGAACAGCAGAAUGGCAUGGCAGAGAGAAGAAAGGGACCAUCUGAACGCCAAGAGAAAUUCAGCUGGGGGAGGUCAGAGAGGAGAUAGACUGCAGGACAGCCAAGCUCCAGGGGAAGAUCAUCUUCCCACUCCAUCCCCUUUCCAGCUCCCCAUCCAUCCCGCUGAGAGCCACCUCCACCACUCAAUAAAACCCUGCAUUCACCAUCCUCAAGUCUGUGUGUGACCUGAUUCUUCCUGGAUGCCGGACAAGGACCUAGGUACCAUGAGGGCACUGAGCUGGUUAACACUUAAGCUAUCUGCAGGCAGCACAGCUAAAAGAAUGCAUGGUAACACAUGCCUACUUGGGCUUUGGGAGUUGCAGGCACCCACCCCUAGAAGCUACCAUGGGGCUGGAGCCCCAAGGUGCUUGCCCUGGC